This 65-nucleotide transfer RNA is filed under the name Scolytinae sp. BMNH 1040351. Its description in RNAcentral is "tRNA-Val". The record is from RNAcentral. Lineage: Eukaryota; Metazoa; Arthropoda; Insecta; Coleoptera; Curculionidae.
CAGGCUGAAGCUUUAAAUGAAGCAUUUUAUUUACAUUAAAGAGAUUGUUUUAGGACAUGGCUUGA